RNAcentral lists this ribosomal RNA (1044 nucleotides) under Vibrio vulnificus. RNAcentral's name for it is "bacterial SSU rRNA". It matches the Rfam family "Bacterial small subunit ribosomal RNA", at positions 490 to 1533 of the family's 1533-position model. Lineage: Bacteria; Pseudomonadati; Pseudomonadota; Gammaproteobacteria; Vibrionales; Vibrionaceae. The record is from RNAcentral.
GCACCGGCUAACUCCGUGCCAGCAGCCGCGGUAAUACGGAGGGUGCGAGCGUUAAUCGGAAUUACUGGGCGUAAAGCGCAUGCAGGUGGUUUGUUAAGUCAGAUGUGAAAGCCCGGGGCUCAACCUCGGAACUGCAUUUGAAACUGGCAGACUAGAGUACUGUAGAGGGGGGUAGAAUUUCAGGUGUAGCGGUGAAAUGCGUAGAGAUCUGAAGGAAUACCGGUGGCGAAGGCGGCCCCCUGGACAGAUACUGACACUCAGAUGCGAAAGCGUGGGGAGCAAACAGGAUUAGAUACCCUGGUAGUCCACGCUGUAAACGAUGUCUACUUGGAGGUUGUGGCCUUGAGCCGUGGCUUUCGGAGCUAACGCGUUAAGUAGACCGCCUGGGGAGUACGGUCGCAAGAUUAAAACUCAAAUGAAUUGACGGGGGCCCGCACAAGCGGUGGAGCAUGUGGUUUAAUUCGAUGCAACGCGAAGAACCUUACCUACUCUUGACAUCCAGAGAAUCUAGCGGAGACGCUGGAGUGCCUUCGGGAACUCUGAGACAGGUGCUGCAUGGCUGUCGUCAGCUCGUGUUGUGAAAUGUUGGGUUAAGUCCCGCAACGAGCGCAACCCUUAUCCUUGUUUGCCAGCGAGUAAUGUCGGGAACUCCAGGGAGACUGCCGGUGAUAAACCGGAGGAAGGUGGGGACGACGUCAAGUCAUCAUGGCCCUUACGAGUAGGGCUACACACGUGCUACAAUGGCGCAUACAGAGGGCGGCCAACUUGCGAAAGUGAGCGAAUCCCAAAAAGUGCGUCGUAGUCCGGAUUGGAGUCUGCAACUCGACUCCAUGAAGUCGGAAUCGCUAGUAAUCGUGGAUCAGAAUGCCACGGUGAAUACGUUCCCGGGCCUUGUACACACCGCCCGUCACACCAUGGGAGUGGGCUGCAAAAGAAGUGGGUAGUUUAACCUUCGGGAGGACGCUCACCACUUUGUGGUUCAUGACUGGGGUGAAGUCGUAACAAGGUAGCGCUAGGGGAACCUGGCGCUGGAUCACCUCCUUA